UACGUAGGGUGCAAGCGUUGUCCGGAAUUAUUGGGCGUAAAGAGCUCGUAGGCGGUCUGUCGCGUCUGCUGUGAAAACUCGGGGCUUAACCCCGGGCCUGCAGUGGGUACGGGCAGACUAGAGUGCGGUAGGGGAGACUGGAAUUCCUGGUGUAGCGGUGAAAUGCGCAGAUAUCAGGAGGAACACCGGUGGCGAAGGCGGGUCUCUGGGCCGAUACUGACGCUGGAGGAGCGAAAGCGUGGGGAGCGAACAGG
Molecule: ribosomal RNA, 254 nt
Filed under: uncultured bacterium
Lineage: Bacteria
Description: partial 16S ribosomal RNA
Rfam family: Bacterial small subunit ribosomal RNA
Source: RNAcentral